This 463-nucleotide ribosomal RNA is filed under the name Hyptia floridana. Its description in RNAcentral is "partial 16S ribosomal RNA". The record is from RNAcentral. Lineage: Eukaryota; Metazoa; Arthropoda; Insecta; Hymenoptera; Evaniidae.
UCAAAAACAUGUCUUUAAGAAUUAAAUUUAAGGUCUAAUCUGCUCAAUGAUUAAUUGUAUUAAAUAGCUGCAGUAUUUUAACUGUACGAAGGUAGCAUAAUAAAUAGUUUAUUAAUUGUGAACUGGAAUGAAUGAUUAAAUAAAAUAUAGAUUGUUUCUUAAUUAAAAUUAAAAAUUAAUUUUUAAGUAAAAAAGCUUAAAUAAGAAUAAGGGACGAGAAGACCCUGUAGAUUUUUAUAUUUAAGUUACUAUUUAAUUUAAAUUUUAAGAUAGUUUAAUUUAAAUAUUUUAAUGGGGAAUUAAUAAAAUAAAAAUUUUUAUGAAUUAAAUUCUUUGAUUUAAGAUUAGGUUAAGUGAAUAAAUUUAAAUUUAAAUUUAUUAAAAAUAAAAAUACCUUAGGGAUAACAGCAUAAUUAUUUUAUUAAGAUCAAAUUUUUAAAAUAGUUUGUGACCUCGAUGUUGA